RNAcentral lists this ribosomal RNA (404 nucleotides) under uncultured bacterium. RNAcentral's name for it is "partial 16S ribosomal RNA". It matches the Rfam family "Bacterial small subunit ribosomal RNA", at positions 29 to 526 of the family's 1533-position model. The record is from RNAcentral.
AUUGAACGCUGGCGGCAGGCCUAACACAUGCAAGUCGAGCGAGCGGCGGACGGGUGAGUAAUGCCUGGGAAUUGCCCAGUCGAGGGGGAUAACAGUUGGAAACGACUGCUAAUACCGCAUACGAUUGGAUUGCCCAGGUGGGAUUAGCUAGUUGGUGAGGUAAUGGCUCACCAAGGCGACGAUCCCUAGCUGGUCUGAGAGGAUGAUAAGCCACACUGGAACGGAGACACGGUCAAGACUCCUACGGGAGGCAGCAGUGGGGAAUAUUGCACAAGGGGGGAAAACCUGAUGCAGACAGGCAGCGUGUGUGAAGAAGGCCUUCGGGUUGUAAAGCAAGUGAAGCGAGUAGGCGUUACUAACAGAAGAAGCACCGGAGAACGCCGUGCCAGCAGCCGCGGUAAUUC